GGCCGCAUUCGUGCCCACUGGCCCCGGCUGCGGCAUCGAGGGCGACCCUGCACACACCCCUCCUCGCCCUGGCCAGCCGAUAAGAGGGCUAGCCUCAGUGUGGGGGUCUGUCUUCUAAAGGGGUUGUCACCCAUCCUUAUUUCUUUUAAUGCAGCUUUGGGGAAGGUGAACAGCCGCUCUGAGAUCAUUUCGCAUAACGGUCUGAACCAUCGUCUUUUAAACUGUGACCUGUGUGGGGGUGCCUGUCUCACUUUAAGGUCCUCCCUUCCCCCAGCCGUCACCCCAUUUACGGGCCAUCCUUAGUGACUUAGUGACAAGUCAACCGUGAGGGGGAAAAAACACAACUCAAUACCCACAAAGCGUUGAGACUUCUAGAAGGAGUGCAGUCACCAACCCCCGCCUUCUGUCACUUAUCCUGACAUUUUCCAGACGGGGUUUCACCGUGUUAGCCAGGAUGGUCUCAAUCUUCUAACCUCAUGAUCUGCCCACCUCGGCCUCGCAAAGCGCUGGGAUUACAGGCGUGAGCCUCCGCGACCGGCCAGAACUAGCUCUUCUUAAGGAUGUGACAGUGAUCUGCACUAGAGCUUCAGGCAGCUAAG
RNAcentral lists this non-coding RNA (599 nucleotides) under Pan troglodytes (chimpanzee). Lineage: Eukaryota; Metazoa; Chordata; Mammalia; Primates; Hominidae. The record is from RNAcentral.